AUAAGAUUAGAGAAGACGAAAAAGGCAAAAAUUAGAGAAGCAAGAAUAAGCAGCGUCCAUGGAGAACGGUGAAAUUCCUGAAAACGCCAACGAAAAUUGCCCUGGUACUCAAUCAGAAUUAGCCGGAAAAUCAGAUGCUUGCCAAGGAUGCCCUAACCAAGAAGCUUGUGCUUCUGCCCCUAAAGGCCCUGACCCUGGUUUCUCUCUUUCUCUCUCUAUGUAUUUUAAUUUGGGAGAAUUUUAGUUGCUGUUGUUUGCUCAUUAGAAAAUUGAUAUAGACAGAGCUACUACUUGCCAUACUCAAUGGUGCAGAAUUUUUAAGUAUUUUCAAUUGUUUUUAAUUACUUUAUUAUUGUUUAAAAUAUAUCAUUAGUUUUAGAUUAGAGAUGAAGAUUGCCACUUUAUUUUCUUCAGCAGCUCAUAUUAUCAGAAAAUUAUGAUAUUAUCCUAAUUUUGAUUCCUACUUCAUGAUUGUUUUAUAUUAAUAAUGGGGAAUUGAUAUCUCUGUUUCUGGGAUUAAUAUUCUUGGCAUUUAGUUAUAUUAGUUUUCUGUGCAGCUGGCUGACUGAGAUAUGGUUGUUUUCUUAUGUCUAAGAAUCCAAUUUUGCACUUGUUACUACUUACUAGGCUUUUUAAUAGCAUCUAACUGUAGAUUCUAAGUCAACAGAGCCGCCCUUUUUGGUGUCUUCAAUGUGCAUAGAACUUUGAUGUUCUUUUGGUUGUUGGGAUCGUUAGAUUUCAAUCCCUUGUAUACAGGGAAAGUUCAAAAUUUCAUGAUGGUAGGUAGCUGGUGCUCUUCAUUUGAGAUACCUGGAAAACUGAAAAAUUUGGUGUUGCAUUAUAUUGCCAAAGUAGUUUUCAUUCUAGGGUGAAGCCAUGUAGAACAGACUAGGAAUUAUGAAAGAUUGUGGAUUGUCUUGCAAAGAGAGUGAGGGAAAGCUAUUAGGAUUUGGGACUUGGGAUUUGGUAAAACUGGGUUUAUCAAAGUGAUGCGGAGCCUGUGAGAAAACUGGAGAGAGAGAGAGAGAGAG
RNAcentral lists this unclassified non-coding RNA (1031 nucleotides) under Hevea brasiliensis (rubber tree). Lineage: Eukaryota; Viridiplantae; Streptophyta; Magnoliopsida; Malpighiales; Euphorbiaceae. The record is from RNAcentral.